RNAcentral lists this ribosomal RNA (453 nucleotides) under uncultured bacterium. RNAcentral's name for it is "bacterial SSU rRNA". It matches the Rfam family "Bacterial small subunit ribosomal RNA", at positions 29 to 524 of the family's 1533-position model. The record is from RNAcentral.
AGCGAACGCUGGCGGCAGGCUUAACACAUGCAAGUCGAGCGGGCGUAGCAAUACGUCAGCGGCAGACGGGUGAGUAACGCGUGGGAACGUACCUUUUGGUUCGGAACAACACAGGGAAACUUGUGCUAAUACCGGAUAAGCCCUUACGGGGAAAGAUUUAUCGCCGAAAGAUCGGCCCGCGUCUGAUUAGCUAGUUGGUGAGGUAACGGCUCACCAAGGCGACGAUCAGUAGCUGGUCUGAGAGGAUGAUCAGCCACAUUGGGACUGAGACACGGCCCAAACUCCUACGGGAGGCAGCAGUGGGGAAUAUUGGACAAUGGGCGCAAGCCUGAUCCAGCCAUGCCGCGUGAGUGAUGAAGGCCCUAGGGUUGUAAAGCUUCUUUUGUGCGGGAAGAUAAUGACGGUACCGCAAGAAUAAGCCCCGGCUAACUUCGUGCCAGCCGCCGCAGUAAU